GCGCGAAAACUUUACAAUGCUGGCAACAGCGAUAAGGGAACCUCGAGUGCCAGGUUACAAAUCUGGCUGUCGAGAUGCCUAAAAAGCAUUUCAUAGCAAGGGCCGGGCAAGACCGGUGCCAGCCGCCGCGGUAACACCGGCGGCUCGAGUGGUAACCGUUAUUAUUGGGUCUAAAGGGUCUGUAGCCGGCCGGAUAAGUCUCUUGAGAAAUCUGGCAGCUUAACUGUCAGGCUUUCAGGAGAUACUGUCUGGCUCGAGGCCGGGAGAGGUGAGAGGUACUUCAGGGGUAGGGGUGAAAUCUUGUAAUCCUUGAAGGACCACCAGUGGCGAAGGCGUCUCACCAGAACGGACCUGACGGCAAGGGACGAAAGCUAGGGGCACGAAC
RNAcentral lists this ribosomal RNA (385 nucleotides) under uncultured bacterium. Its description in RNAcentral is "bacterial SSU rRNA". It matches the Rfam family "Archaeal small subunit ribosomal RNA", at positions 339 to 724 of the family's 1478-position model. The record is from RNAcentral.